Molecule: ribosomal RNA, 383 nt
Filed under: uncultured bacterium
Lineage: Bacteria
Description: bacterial SSU rRNA
Rfam family: Bacterial small subunit ribosomal RNA
Source: RNAcentral
AUUGAACGCUGGCGGCAUGCUUUACACAUGCAAGUCGGGCGGCAGCGCGGGGGCAACCCUGGCGGCGAGCGGCGAACGGGUGAGUAACACAUCGGAACGUGCCCAAUCGUGGGGGAUAACGUAGCGAAAGCUACGCUAAUACCGCAUACGAUCUACGGAUGAAAGCGGGGGAUCGCAAGACCUCGCGCGAAUGGAGCGGCCGAUGGCAGAUUAGGUAGUUGGUGGGGUAAAAGGCUCACCAAGCCGACGAUCUGUAGCUGGUCUGAGAGGACGACCAGCCACACUGGGACUGAGACACGGCCCAGACUCCUACGGGAGGCAGCAGUGGGGAAUUUUGGACAAUGGGCGCAAGCCUGAUCCAGCCAUUCCGCGUGCAGGAUGAA